RNAcentral lists this ribosomal RNA (439 nucleotides) under uncultured bacterium. RNAcentral describes it as "partial 16S ribosomal RNA". It matches the Rfam family "Bacterial small subunit ribosomal RNA", at positions 338 to 795 of the family's 1533-position model. The record is from RNAcentral.
CCUACGGGGUGCUGCAGUGGGGAAUAUUGCACAAUGGGGGGAACCCUGAUGCAGCGACGCCGCGUGAGUGAAGAAGUAUUUCGGUAUGUAAAGCUCUAUCAGCAGGGAAGAAAAUGACGGUACCUGACUAAGAAGCCCCGGCUAACUACGUGCCAGCAGCCGCGGUAAUACGUAGGGGGCAAGCGUUAUCCGGAUUUACUGGGUGUAAAGGGAGUGCAGACGGCUGUGCAAGUCUGGAGUGAAAGGCGGGGGCCCAACCCCGGCGAGCCGUUGAAACUGGCGGGCUGGAGUUGGAGAGAAGUACGCGGAAUGCGCGGUGUAGCGGUGAAAUGCUUAGAUAUCGCGCAGAACCCCGAUUGCGAAGGCAGCGUACCGGCUCCACACUGACGCUGAGGCACGAAAGCGUGGGUAUCGAACAGGAUUAGAUACCCCUGUAGUC